UGGGGAAUAUUGCACAAUGGGGGAAACCCUGAUGCAGCGACGCCGCGUGAGCGAAGAAGUAUUUCGGUAUGUAAAGCUCUGUCAGCAGGGAAGAAGAAGACGGUACCUGACCAAGAAGCCCCGGCUAACUACGUGCCAGCAGCCGCGGUAAUACGUAGGGGGCAAGCGUUAUCCGGAUUUACUGGGUGUAAAGGGAGCGCAGGCGGUUCUGCAAGUCUGGUGUGAAAGCCCGGGGCCCAACCCCGGGACUGCAUUGGAAACUGCGGGACUUGAGUGUCGGAGGGGCAAGUGGAAUUCCUAGUGUAGCGGUGAAAUGCGUAGAUAUUAGGAGGAACACCAGUGGCGAAGGCGGCUUGCUGGACGACAACUGACGCUGAGGCUCGAAAGCGUGGGGAGCAAACAGGAUUAGAUACC
This 414-nucleotide ribosomal RNA is filed under the name uncultured bacterium. RNAcentral describes it as "bacterial SSU rRNA". It matches the Rfam family "Bacterial small subunit ribosomal RNA", at positions 355 to 786 of the family's 1533-position model. The record is from RNAcentral.